GAUGAACGCUGGCGGCGUGCUUAACACAUGCAAGUCGAACGGAGCUGCAUGGAGGAAGUUUUCGGAUGGAAUUUAGGUAGACUUAGUGGCGGACGGGUGAGUAACGCGUGGAUAACCUGCCCUUAUACAGGGGGAUAACGGAGAGAAAUUUCCGCUAACACCGCAUAAGACCACAGCACCGCAUGGUGCAGGGGUAAAAUAUUUAUAGGUAUAAGAUGGAUCCGCGUCCGAUUAGCUAGUUGGUGAGGUAAAGGCCCACCAAGGCGACGAUCGGUAGCCGGCCUGAGAGGGUGAACGGCCACAUUGGGACUGAGACACGGCCCAAACUCCUACGGGAGGCAGCAGUGGGGAAUAUUGGACAAUGGGGGAAACCCUGAUCCAGCGACGCCGCGUGAGUGAAGAAGUAUUUCGGUAUGUAAAGCUCUAUCAGCAGGGAAGAAAAUGACGGUACCUGACUAAGAAGCCCCGGCUAACUACGUGCCAGCAGCCGCGGUAAUACGUAGGGGGCAAGCGUUAUCCGGAUUUACUGGGUGUAAAGGGAGCGCAGACGGCAAUGCAAGUCUGAAGUGAAAGGCGUGGGCUCAACCCAUGAACUGCUUUGGAAACUGUAUAGCUUGAGUGUCGGAGGGGUAAGCGGAAUUCCUAGUGUAGCGGUGAAAUGCGUAGAUAUUAGGAGGAACACCGGAGGCGAAGGCGGCUUACUGGACGACAACUGACGUUGAGGCUCGAAGGCGUGAGGAGCAAACAGG
Molecule: ribosomal RNA, 749 nt
Filed under: uncultured Lachnospiraceae bacterium
Lineage: Bacteria; Bacillati; Bacillota; Clostridia; Lachnospirales; Lachnospiraceae
Description: bacterial SSU rRNA
Rfam family: Bacterial small subunit ribosomal RNA
Source: RNAcentral